GAGGAAAAAUAGACACUUACUUGAAGUUGCUAGAUCUCUUAUGUUUACUAUGAAUAUUCCUAAACCUUACUAGGGGGAUGCUAUUCUUUUUGCUGCAUAUCUUAUUAACAGCAUGCCACUUCAAACAUUGGAGUUUAAGAGUUCAUUGAAGGUUUUGCAUGGUAAAAAUUCAUAUACUGUCCCUCCAAAGGUCUUUGGGUGUGUCUGCUUUGUUCACAAGCUUAAUAGUAGGAAAUUAGAAUCUCGGGCUCUCAAGUGUAUCUUUGUUGGUUAU
Molecule: unclassified non-coding RNA, 274 nt
Filed under: Hevea brasiliensis (rubber tree)
Lineage: Eukaryota; Viridiplantae; Streptophyta; Magnoliopsida; Malpighiales; Euphorbiaceae
Source: RNAcentral